RNAcentral lists this ribosomal RNA (440 nucleotides) under uncultured bacterium. Its description in RNAcentral is "partial 16S ribosomal RNA". It matches the Rfam family "Bacterial small subunit ribosomal RNA", at positions 338 to 795 of the family's 1533-position model. The record is from RNAcentral.
CCUACGGGAGGCUGCAGUGGGGAAUAUUGCACAAUGGGGGAAACCCUGAUGCAGCGACGCCGCGUGAGUGAAGAAGUAAUUCGUUACGUAAAGCUCUAUCAGCAGGGAAGAAAAUGACGGUACCUGAGUAAGAAGCCCCGGCUAACUACGUGCCAGCAGCCGCGGUAAUACGUAGGGGGCAAGCGUUAUCCGGAUUUACUGGGGUUAAAGGGAGCGUAGGCGGUGAGCCAAGUCUGGAGUGAAAUGCCGCAGCUUAACUGCGGAACUGCUUUGGAAACUGGCGAACUAGAGUGGGCGAGGGGUACGCGGAAUGCGUUGUGUAGCGGUGAAAUGCGUAGAUAUUAGGCAGAACUCCGGUGGCGAAGGCGGCUUACUGGACCGUAACUGACGUUGAGGCUCGAAAGCGUGGGGAGCAAACAGGAUUAGAUACCCCAGUAGUC